AGAAAAGCUCUGCAUCUUCAAGUUCAAGGUCACAACAAGUUUGUCUUACCUGAACUGGUUCCCUGAUUGCAUUUGGAUAACAGACGUUCUUCUAUCGCACUGCUGAUGCAUGGGGUCUUGAGAAAUAAAAAGUUUCAAGCAUGUCUGGACUGUUAGUAGUAGAAGUUGAACUUUACCAGUUUGAAGGUGAGGAUGUUUGUUUCGUCCACAGACCUGUUACCCGUCACCUAUU
Molecule: long non-coding RNA, 232 nt
Filed under: Mytilus galloprovincialis (Mediterranean mussel)
Lineage: Eukaryota; Metazoa; Mollusca; Bivalvia; Mytilida; Mytilidae
Source: RNAcentral